Molecule: ribosomal RNA, 253 nt
Filed under: uncultured bacterium
Lineage: Bacteria
Description: partial 16S ribosomal RNA
Rfam family: Bacterial small subunit ribosomal RNA
Source: RNAcentral
UACGGGGGAUGCAAGCGUUAUCCGGAUUUAUUGGGUUUAAAGGGUGCGUAGGCGGUUUGAUAAGUUAGAGGUGAAAUGUCGGGGCUCAACCCCGAAACUGCCUCUAAUACUGUUGGACUAGAGAAUAGUUGCGGUAGGCGGAAUGUAUGGUGUAGCGGUGAAAUGCUUAGAGAUCAUACAGAACACCGAUUGCGAAGGCAGCUUACCAAACUAUAUCUGACGUUGAGGCACGAAAGCGUGGGUAGCAAACAGG